AUGGCGAAUGAAGCGGCAAGAGCCCAAAUUUGAAAUCGGGCAACCGAGUUGUAAUUUGGAGACGGGACACUAGAGAGGAGGAAGGCGAUUAAGUGCCUUGGAACAGGCUGCCGUAGAGGGUGAGAGCCCCGUGAAUCGCUGGAGACCGAUCAAUUAGUGCCCGCCGAAGAGUCGAGUUGUUUGGGAAUGCAGCUCUAAGUGGGUGGUAUAUUCCAUCUAAGGCUAAAUAUUAGCGAGAGACCGAUAGCAAACAAGUACAGUGAUGGAAAGAUGAAAAGAACUUUGGAAAGAGAGUGAAAUAGUACGUGAAAUUGUUGAAAGGGAAGGGUAUUUGAUCCGACAUGGUGUUUAGCAGCGGCCCGUUCCUCGUGGAUGGGUGCACCUGGUUUACACUGGGCCAGCAUCGGUUCUGGGAGCCAUAUACGGGGUUCGUGAAUGUGGCCCUUCGAUUCUGUCGGAGGGUGUUAUAGCGCGGACAUCUUGUGGCUAGCCGGGACCGGGGACUGCGGUGACUUGUCACCAAGGAUGCUGGCAGAACGAGCAAAUACCACCCGUCUUGAA
Molecule: ribosomal RNA, 561 nt
Filed under: Brettanomyces bruxellensis
Lineage: Eukaryota; Fungi; Ascomycota; Pichiomycetes; Pichiales; Pichiaceae
Description: partial large subunit ribosomal RNA
Rfam family: Eukaryotic large subunit ribosomal RNA
Source: RNAcentral